UUUUCAUCUAACUUUCAAGUUCCAACCUAACUCCGAAGGCCGCCGACGGCUUUUGCUGCUUCUGCCCCUCUCCCGUUUGCUGCAAAGCUCACACAGAAAACCCUAACUCCCUACUCCGGAAUUUGAUAAUGGAGAAGAAAAAGUCUCGUAAAGAAAGUAGAAAAGAAGCUCGGAAGGCUAAAAAGCAUAAGAAGUUUGAUUCGUGGAUCCAACAUCAACAAACACAAAAAGCCCGGAGAAUGUUGCCAAAUUCAAAACCAACACACACAGUGCAUUCACGGAAGGAUAGCCAAGUACAAAGGCAUGAACAUUUACACUCCUUAAAUUCAAAGAAAGACUUGGACACUUCUCCACGGUUGGAUUCUUCUAAGGUGGAAAAUACGAGUUUGAAA
Molecule: unclassified non-coding RNA, 392 nt
Filed under: Hevea brasiliensis (rubber tree)
Lineage: Eukaryota; Viridiplantae; Streptophyta; Magnoliopsida; Malpighiales; Euphorbiaceae
Source: RNAcentral